Molecule: long non-coding RNA, 326 nt
Filed under: Setaria viridis
Lineage: Eukaryota; Viridiplantae; Streptophyta; Magnoliopsida; Poales; Poaceae
Description: long non-coding RNA (SVIR_LNC004532)
Source: RNAcentral
GGAGAUAUCAUGUGUAGUGGUUUGUGAUCUCUGUUAGAUAAUAUGCUUGUGCUUAUUCUUUAGGCAUGAAUAAUAAUGUGUGAACUGUGAUGAGAAAUAUUUGUUUCUAUGUGUGGUUUGUAGUAAUUAUUUGGGCUAUCAAUUACAUAAUUGAUUUGUAUGUGAUAUUAAAUUAGAUUAUAUUUUAAUUAAAUGCUACUCGGACUUUAUCCCAAAAUAACAAGAUGCAAAAUGGGUUCUGCUAAAUAAAAAUCCUACCUUAUUAGAAUCAAAAAAGUAUUAGCAUACAUUCACUAAGGCCAAUAACUACUAGGCUUAAACAAAAU